This 465-nucleotide ribosomal RNA is filed under the name uncultured Methylophilaceae bacterium. Its description in RNAcentral is "bacterial SSU rRNA". It matches the Rfam family "Bacterial small subunit ribosomal RNA", at positions 338 to 795 of the family's 1533-position model. Lineage: Bacteria; Pseudomonadati; Pseudomonadota; Betaproteobacteria; Nitrosomonadales; Methylophilaceae. The record is from RNAcentral.
CCUACGGGGGGCAGCAGUGGGGAAUUUUGGACAAUGGGCGAAAGCCUGAUCCAGCCAUUCCGCGUGAGUGAAGAAGGCCUUCGGGUUGUAAAGCUCUUUCGCAAGGGAAGAAAGAUUAUCCUCUAACAUAGGAUGAUUAUGACGGUACCUUGAUAAGAAGCACCGGCUAACUACGUGCCAGCAGCCGCGGUAAUACGUAGGGUGCGAGCGUUAAUCGGAAUUACUGGGCGUAAAGCGUGCGCAGGCGGUUUUGUAAGUCAGAUGUGAAAUCCCCGAGCUCAACUUGGGAACUGCGUUUGAAACUACAAGACUAGAAUAUGUCAGAGGGGGGUAGAAUUCCACGUGUAGCAGUGAAAUGCGUAGAGAUGUGGAGGAAUACCAAUGGCGAAGGCAGCCCCCUGGGAUAAUAUUGACGCUCAUGCACGAAAGCGUGGGGAGCAAACAGGAUUAGAUACCCUUGUAGUC